Long non-coding RNA from Trichechus manatus latirostris (Florida manatee), 1137 nucleotides. RefSeq lists it as uncharacterized. The transcript has 3 exons. The record is from RefSeq and is a predicted model, not a curated record. NCBI's taxonomy places the organism in Eukaryota, Metazoa, Chordata, Mammalia, Sirenia, Trichechidae.
GGGGCCAAGCCUUGCAAUUCACAUUAAGCUUACGUCUGUCAGGAAUAUAUAAGUUGGACUUUCAGAUCGACUGUGAUCUGUUGAGGUAAGCAUUUAGGUAACAAAAUUUUAUUGCAUCUUUUCUCUGCAUCUGCUUUCAAUUGAAGAACUCAGGAGCCUAAAGAAAUGAGCUUCCUUUGCUUUUUUCUUUCCAUGAGGGUAUUUGAAGAGGAUAUUAAGGAGCACAGGCCUUGAAAACCCUCUCCACUCUUUGUUCCUUGAACUCUGGGAAGGACAGUUCAGAAAAUCAGUGCUGCAUCACCACACUGGGGAAGAUAAAUGUCAACCUCUUCUAUCACAAACCCGAGGGACACAGUGGAAAGAAUUACUGAGAAACUAAGCGUGAACAAAGAAGGUUUGGGACUUAACCUCAUUUAAUCUUCUUAUCAGCCAAUGGAGAGCUCGUAUACCUGUGUAUAACUGAGGAAGUUCUGCUCAGGAGUGGCCACCGAAGACAGGAUAUGCAGUUACUUACAAUGCCACAAGAGGACGGAGAAACAAACACCUAAAUUCGGAGAGCCGUGACUUGGCACGUGUUUUUGUAGCUGAUAAUAAUCAAUAGGUUAAAAGUCAGUUUUUUUUUUCCUCUGAACGCAGGGAAAUUACAAUGUUUAUUUCAAGUACUUAGUAGAGCAACUGCUCCCAUUAGGCAGUCAAGUAAUUCCCAUUGACGGGCUCUAAUCUGAGCUAUCUGUUUCCACUAUCUGUAAAACACUUCCUUCCUCUGUGCUCCCACAGCAGAUCAUAAAAUACUCUUCUUGUCUGGCUAGCCCGCCAAUCUGGGGCUCAUCAAGGGCAGGGCUCAUAUCUUUUGCCUCAGUAUCUCCAAUGUAAAGCACAGUACCUAAUAUGUAGUAGGUGUUCAAAAGAUGUUUGCUAGACGAAUUUAUAAUAAAUCUUUGUUGGCAGCAAAUUAUAUAAACAAUAUGACAUUGUCAUUCAUUUAACAAGCCUAAACACACACUUGUUCAGCGUGGAUGCUAUUCAGUCUGGUAGAUACAUGCAUCUUAAGAUAUAAGCUAGCAGCCUACAGCUUAUAUUAGUAGACCUUAUAUCAAUAUCAAUAUUUUCUGCAGAAUAAAUGGCCAGGAGAGCAAG